ACUCACACAUGCAACAGCAUUGCAAAUGCAGUAUGUCACUAGCUGAGGCGACAAUUUUGUUGCGUCUGUGAAUCUGGCGGAAGGGCUACUGUUGAAAUGUGGUACAUUUAUAUCGACAGUAAUGACUGUGUCAAGAGGGCUCUCAACAAUUAGUUUUAUAUGUAUGUAAAAUAGUCGGGAACAUCCUUUAUUAUGCUUGAUCUUGCCCUUAACAGCUUCAAUUACUGCUAGUUUCUUAAUUCGUAUACCACAUUCCAAUUUGUUUGUACAAUGGUUACUGUUUUCUGCUUCCUCAUUUUCUUUUUGCUUUUUUUACGCUAGCUCUUAGUUCUCUUGCAAUACAUCUUCAAGGAACCGACAAGAUGAGUUUAAUAGGACGCCGUAGUAUGAGUCAGUGUGUAGAAACCUAUCUACAGAACAUAAAAACUGCAACUGGCGCCAUAACAUUGUGCAAAUUAUUAGCUGAUAUCAAUUUCAAUUUCUUUGAUAGAUUGGCAAAGAUAAUACAACUUAUUAAAAAAAAUAUUGUUUUGUUUACAGUGGGUUAAUACUGUAGUUAAUUUGCGAGAUCCUCUUCAAAAUAUUCAAAGAAUCAUACGGACCUUCAUAGCAUAGUAAUUCAGAUAGCCCUUUAAGUUGCAUUACUUACUACUGACCACUAAGAGCGAUGUCAUGACAAAUCCACCUAAUAAUGUAUAACUUUUACCAACUGUUCCGGUUGAUUGCUAUCAACUAACCAAAAUUCGAGACUUCGUAAUUAUGUACAACAAAAUUUCGGAACAUUGCUUCAGGCGUUGUGUAACGUCAUUUAAUGACCGUGAAUUGAGCGCAGAUGAGGUUACAUGUGUGGAACGCUGUGCAGCCAAAGAAAUAUCGUUAAAU
This is a long non-coding RNA of Schistocerca americana (American grasshopper), 882 nucleotides long. RefSeq lists it as uncharacterized. Lineage: Eukaryota; Metazoa; Arthropoda; Insecta; Orthoptera; Acrididae. The transcript is spliced from 3 exons. The record is from RefSeq and is a predicted model, not a curated record.